RNAcentral lists this ribosomal RNA (429 nucleotides) under Bacillota bacterium. Its description in RNAcentral is "Firmicutes bacterium partial 16S ribosomal RNA". It matches the Rfam family "Bacterial small subunit ribosomal RNA", at positions 355 to 776 of the family's 1533-position model. Lineage: Bacteria; Bacillati; Bacillota. The record is from RNAcentral.
UAGGGAAUCUUCGGCAAUGGACGGAAGUCUGACCGAGCAACGCCGCGUGAGUGAAGAAGGUUUUCGGAUCGUAAAGCUCUGUUGUUAGAGAAGAACGUUGGUAGGAGUGGAAAAUCUACCAAGUGACGGUAACUAACCAGAAAGGGACGGCUAACUACGUGCCAGCAGCCGCGGUAAUACGUAGGUCCCGAGCGUUGUCCGGAUUGAUUGGGCGUAAAGCGAGCGCAGGCGGUUCUUUAAGUCUGAAGUUAAAGGCAGUGGCUUAACCAUUGUACGCUUUGGAAACAGGAGGACUGGAGUGCAGAAGGGGAGGGUGGAAUUCCAUGUGUAGCGGUGAAAUGCGUAGAUAUAUGGAGGAACACCGGUGGCGAAAGCGGCUCUCUGGUCUGUAAAUGACGCUGAGGCUCGAAAGCGUGGGGAGCAAACAGG